CGCGGCUUGCAUCCGAGUCGCCAAACCGCGGUUCGGUUCGCCGCGACCGCGCGACCCCCUUUCCUUCGCCCCCUUCUCCCCCUCUCUUCUCUCCUCUCUCUUCGCACCGCUCCUUCCCCCCUCCUCGAGCUGCUGGUAUCUCCACCGCGAGGAGAGGCGGAUGAGCGACGCCAUCCUCCCGGGUGCUUUCCGCCUCGCGGAGGGGGCGUGCCUCCCACGCCUCGCUCGAUCCGAUGAAGCUGCUGGGGGGCGCGCGAUGCGGAGCCCGUGGCGGUGGGGGGGAUUUUUUUUGGUUUGUUCAGCUGCCUGCUUCGAGCUCGCAACAUUGCGGCCAGGUGCUGGAAAGGUGAUGCCUCAUAUUCUCGUUACUUGUUAGGUGUAAGGCCAGCAGGCAGCAGCUCUGUUCAGGACACCACUUUCUACUAUAUGGCUGCCUUUCAUAGUGUAAAGCCACGACAUGGAAGCCUGGAAGAAUUUAAUGAGUGUUCGUUAGAUAUCUUAUUAUUCAUUUCAAGAUUGUCAUCUUUCAUCCCACCCUCUUUAUGCUGCACUUGAAUGGGUGCGUUCGGAAGCUCUACUCGUUUAGUAUAAUCUUCAAGUGAUAAUAGAUCAUUCCUAUCCCUUUUUUGCGAUGCUGCUUGUUCAUCUGCUUACUGUUAGCCAUUUCUGCAUUUGCAUAUAUCCUGAUAGCAAUAUUCUAGAGGAAAUGUAACGCCCAGAAGCCUAGUUUUGUCACUGACAUAUAUUCUCAUAUUGAUCCAUCAUUACGUACGUUUUGUUGACUUGUGUUAUAUUUCUAACUUAAAAGCUUGGCAAAAAUACUUGAUUGUGCAUGCAGAAUUGAGCGUGCUGAACAAUUCUGAGAAAGGAUUGCUUCCAAGGAGGAUAGAUUAACAUCAUAUCACUGGUCAGAAAGACAAGAUUCCAUGAAGGUUCACACAGGCCUCAGGUGCUACUCCCCACUCUCCCCUCAGUAUUUACAUUUCACACAUUAUGUACAGUCAUCCAACAGUUGCCAUGCGCCCAAAUUUGCCUGCACCGCCAACAGAUGAUCCUAUCUCAUCCUUGCACCUCCCUGCAGCGCUCACAUCCAUUCUGCUACCACCAUUGCCACCUCCACCACCACGACCCUUUCCUCUGCGUGGACUAGCACACUUCCUGCAGAUGAACUUCUCAGGGACAUCAUCAAAAUCACUAAUCCCUGAACACCUGGUGUGUUGCCAAACUCCACAAACAUCACAUGCAAGCAUCCUCUCGCCAUCAUCGUCCUUGGCUCCACAGGUGCAGUCGACCGUCCAGUUCUCCAACCCCCUUUCCAUCCUGAAUUGCACAAUUCUUCGGUUAUCCCCAGUGCACCUUCCUCUUACCCUCACGAGCUGGCUUGAGCCAAGCACAUGCUUCACGAGGGUUGUGUCACUAAAAUUUGGGAAGUCAGGGAGCUGUUCAACCUGGUAGCUUUGGAACAUGAGGUAUGUUUCUUGAAAGGCCCUUGUAGCCUGUAUUUUCAGUUCAGCAAGGGUAGCACUUGCUGGUAAAAGCACUAGUUCCACCGGUGGUGCAGUGUAGUCUUUUGGGUGAUCAAGAAGUUCAAUGGAACACCUCACAGAAAGUAGGAAUGGGUUCAAAGGAGCCCGUGGGGUGUGCUGAUCGUAAUGUUUGAUGAACUGCUUGCAGUCGAGAAUCUUUGCUGCUGCACUGUGUGAUGAUGCACCUAUAACCUCUGGCUGUGAAGCCAACAUGGUUUCUGGGUUCAGCAAAGCGUUAUAGAGGAACUUCAGAUCGUGCAGAAGAUGAUCAACAGAAGGCCCAAACGCAGCCGCAUCAACUGACUGGUUGGAGUUAUCUUCCAGCCUGCUUGUCAGCAGAUAUAGGAGGAGGGUCAUGAUAGUUUAUAACAAAGUUAGCCAAAUAGGAGCAACAUUCUGAACAUAGGGCUCACCUGUAUUCAAUUGCACUCGUCUCAGCAUUGCAGCGGACAGCUAUGAAAUGGCCAUCGUCCAUCAGUUUUCCACCCAGUCCUCGAAGAGAAUAGUCAAGUAGCUCCUGUGAAUCAACAGCCUUCGAUGCAGCUCCCCGAAGUGCACGCCAUGAUACCCACUGUCCAGGCUGAACAACCCGUAGGACCUUGAGCAUUGCAGUUUCUGCCCGAUCAAUAUCUUCCUUUGUCCACUUGCAGAGCACAUUAGAUGCAACUUCUUUGUGUUCAUCAGUUGUGGGUUUUGAUGUCUCGUUCUUCUUGCGUGCUUGAUGAAGCAGGUGCAUUAUGAACCGGAAGAGGUCCCGAACAGUCACAAGCUGGCGAUCAGAGAGUGCCCAGUACAGAGCAAUCGUGUUCUGCAGAGGGGUCCGAAUGGGCUGGCGAUGUGAGAAGUACAACGCGAGUUGUAUACCGGAAAGCGUAUCCACUGCCUCUUGGUAAGUAUCUGAGGUUAGUGCAAAGCUACCAGCGCCAAACUUGUAUCCCCAUUCACCAUACCAAGGAUGGCCACUUGUGAUGGCAUGCAGAAGCCUGUAUUCCAUUCCAUGCUUCUUGGAUAUGUCCAUGACAGUUACUUUCCUGCAGUGAGGUUAGUGAAAUUUUCAGGGUUAUGGCAUGCUGAAUAACCCUCUUUUUGUAGGAACGACACAUGAACCAAAACAUAUCGAUCAAUUUAUACCUCACAUGUAGCACCUUGCACAAGCGAUCCCAGAAACUCAUUAUGUCACGGCCCGUGAGACAUCUUGAGCCACCUUCACGGCCAUUUACCCUCAGAAGGUGGCCAUAACCAUUUGCAUGCACCACAGCGUGCAGCAGGUGGGUGUUGUCGUCCAGAUGCAUGUACCCGCACUCCUCCAGCUCCUCGCCAUCCAUAUCAAAGUUGCAUAGGAGGCAUCUGGAAAACAUUGCAUCCAAAGUUAGCACGAACCACAAUUAGCAUAGGGCAGCAUCAUUCGAUCACCAAAUCUCUCACAAGUUUAAUCUUUGCAUCUAGGCACGAUAAGAACAACUCGACAACUACACCACGAUAUGAAAUAAACUAGGCACAUUAUCAUCCUUCCGCCCGAAACCAAUCGUGGUGUUACAGUUGACUAUAUUUAUCUUCUCUGAAACUAACGGUGCUUGUUCUUCCCACCUUGAUUCUCCAGCGACUGUGGGAGUCCCGCAGCGGAGGCAGCAGCUGUGGCGCUUGCCGCACACCUGGUUGUUGUCGUUCUCGAUGAUGAAAUGGUACCGCUUCCCACAGACCGGGUGACCACUCCAUCCUGCAACCAAACAAAUGGCAUCGCGCAAGAUUACAUCACUGCUUCUGUAGGAUUGAAUUUUUUUCUUCUCUUUUGCAAAAGGAUUGUGACAGCAAUCAAAUGUGGAAAUUGUACAUCAAAAGCAACAGGCCAACAAUACUUGCAUAGGCUAACAGUCACAGAAGGGGGCGAGAAGAUUCAAGAGAAAUUGCUGUUGGAAACAGACACGGCGUCA
Molecule: non-coding RNA, 3457 nt
Organism: Oryza sativa Japonica Group (Japanese rice)
Lineage: Eukaryota; Viridiplantae; Streptophyta; Magnoliopsida; Poales; Poaceae
Source: RefSeq, a predicted model, not a curated record